This 255-nucleotide unclassified non-coding RNA is filed under the name Hevea brasiliensis (rubber tree). The record is from RNAcentral. Lineage: Eukaryota; Viridiplantae; Streptophyta; Magnoliopsida; Malpighiales; Euphorbiaceae.
UAAUUUGAAGUUGAGUCACUUGCAUCUUACUCCCAACCAUGCCCUGCGCCUUGCAAUUCAAGACUGGCUUUGCAAAUCUUAAAAUCCCGUUGAUUGAUGAAUUUAUGUGCUACGUUUGUAUUGGGCUUUAAUCAUGUGUGUGCCACAGAUGAAUUCUAGGCCAUCCCUGCUCAAUCAAUUUUAUUUACAAAGGUGUAAUUUUUGUAACAUUCUGCACAAGGAGUCUAUCAUCUAAAUUCUAUAUUAUUCCAGGCC